AUACGUAGGGGGCGAGCGUUGUCCGGAAUGAUUGGGCGUAAAGGGCGCGUAGGCGGCCCGGUAAGUCUGGAGUGAAAGUUCUGUUUUUAAGAUGGGAAUUGCUUUGGAUACUGUCGGGCUUGAGUGCAGGAGAGGUAAGUGGAAUUCCCAGUGUAGCGGUGAAAUGCGUAGAGAUUGGGAGGAACACCAGUGGCGAAGGCGACUUACUGGACUGUAACUGACGCUGAGGCGCGAAAGUGUGGGGAGCAAACAGGAUUAGAUACCCUGGUAGUCCACACUGUAAACGAUGAAUGCUAGGUGUAGGGGGUAUCGACCCCUUCUGUGCCGCAGUCAACACAAUAAGCAUUCCGCCUGGGGAGUACGGCCGCAAGGUUGAAACUCAAAGGAAUUGACGGGG
This 397-nucleotide ribosomal RNA is filed under the name uncultured bacterium. RNAcentral describes it as "partial 16S ribosomal RNA". It matches the Rfam family "Bacterial small subunit ribosomal RNA", at positions 523 to 918 of the family's 1533-position model. The record is from RNAcentral.